CCUACGGGGGGCAGCAGUGAGGAAUAUUGGUCAAUGGCCGGAAGGCUGAACCAGCCAAGCCGCGUGAAGGAAGAAGGUGCCAUGCAUUGUAAACUUCUUUUGUCAAGGGACAAAAUCCGGCACGUGAGCCUGACCGCGGGUAUUUGAAGAAAAAGCAUCGGCUAACUCCGUGCCAGCAGCCGCGGUAAUACGGAGGAUGCGAGCGUUAUCCGGAUUUAUUGGGUUUAAAGGGUGCGUAGGCGGACUGUUAAGUCAGCGGUAAAAGCCCGGGGCUCAACCCCGGCGAGCCGUUGAAACUGGCAGUCUUGAGAUGUCGAGAGGUAAGCGGAAUGCGCAGUGUAGCGGUGAAAUGCUUAGAUAUUGCGCAGAACUCCGAUUGCGAAGGCAGCGUACCGGCGGCGAUCUGACGCUGAGGCACGAAAGCGUGGGGAUCGAACAGGAUUAGAUACCCUUGUAGUC
RNAcentral lists this ribosomal RNA (459 nucleotides) under uncultured bacterium. RNAcentral's name for it is "partial 16S ribosomal RNA". It matches the Rfam family "Bacterial small subunit ribosomal RNA", at positions 338 to 795 of the family's 1533-position model. The record is from RNAcentral.